RNAcentral lists this ribosomal RNA (253 nucleotides) under uncultured bacterium. RNAcentral describes it as "partial 16S ribosomal RNA". It matches the Rfam family "Bacterial small subunit ribosomal RNA", at positions 524 to 776 of the family's 1533-position model. The record is from RNAcentral.
UACGUAGGGGGCAAGCGUUGUCCGGAAUCAUUGGGCGUAAAGAGCGUGUAGGCGGCUUGGCAAGUCUGGUGUGAAAUCUUGCGGCUCAACCGCAAGCGGUCACUGGAAACUGCCUCGCUAGAGUCCGGAAGAGGAGAGCGGAAUUCCUGGUGUAGCGGUGGAAUGCGCAGAUAUCAGGAAGAACACCCGUGGCGAAGGCGGCUCUCUGGGACGGUACUGACGCUGAGGCGCGAAAGCGUGGGGAGCGAACAGG